Molecule: long non-coding RNA, 2061 nt
Filed under: Homo sapiens (human)
Lineage: Eukaryota; Metazoa; Chordata; Mammalia; Primates; Hominidae
Description: HSALNT0206763
Source: RNAcentral
UCUAAGGUUUAAGUGCGAGAAUAUGUAUUAUCCCCGGGGUUGGAGAAGCACCUGGAACCAGUGUUAAUAGUUUACUCCAUCCAGCUCCUUCCGUUCACAUGAAGGCGGGGGGCUGGGUGCCUGUGUGCCAGGGUCAGCUGAAUAACUUGGAGUUUUCUGGAAUAACUUUCCUGUAGAGUAUGAUGUUUAUUAAGUGAUAAAGAUACAAAUGAAUUGAUUGAAGCUUGCAUAGGUGUAUAAGUUUCGCCAGACUGCUGUCACAAAUGACCACAAACUGUGUGGCUUAAAAUAACAGACAUGUAUUCCUCAUGGUUCUCGAGGCUGGAGGUCUGCAGGGCUGGUUCCUUUGGAGGCUGGGAGAAGGAAUCGGCCCCCUGCCUCUCUCCAGCUUCUGGUGGUGGCUGGGGCCAUCGGGGUACUGCUUGGCUCUCAGACACAUUGCCUGAUCUCUGCUCCAUGUUCACAUCUUCCACAUUCUCUUGUGUUGUCUUGGUUUUCUUCCCCUCUUCUUAUCAGGACACUAGUCACUUUGGAUGAAGGACCCACCAUACUUCAGUAUGGUUUCAUCUUAACUUGAUUGCUUCUGCAAAGACCCCCCACUUCCAGAUAAAGUCACCUUCACAGGUACCAGGGGUUAGGACUUGAACAUAGCUUUUUGGGCGAUGCAUUUCAACCCAUCACACACGCGCACACACGUGCACGCACACACACACACCCAAAUAUAUGUAAUGAAAACUCAACAGUCACAAGAGCAAUUAUUUAGAACUUUCAUCAACAAAUGAUUGUGUGUGUGUGUGUGUGUGUGUGUGUGUGUGUGUGUGUAGGACUGUUUCAUCACUAACUGUGUUUGGAAUGACUCUCUUGUUGGGAUAAAAGCAGGCCAGUUUUGCUUGGCUUACUUAUCGUGUAUGAAUUAUCUUUUAACAGAAAUUUUCUGUACCCCAGGCAAGACCAUUCCCUUCAUCCCAGCCCAGGUAGCUGCUGUCCCCAAACACCCUCAGUGGGCAUGAGGUGGUCCUCAUAAUUCCUGGUGAUGUCCAUUUCUUCUUCCAUGUUUUCAAACAGCGGUAUGGCACUUUGAGGUGAAAUAUGGCUCUAUUUAAUGUCACUGGUUUCUUGAAGCUCUGAGUUUUCUGGGACCACAAGUUUUACUUGAAGACCUUCUCCGAUCAAACAACUCUGCCGCUGCAGCUUGAAAACAACCACAGACAACACACACACAAAUCCAGCGUGGCUGUGUUCCGACGCAAUUUGACAAAAACAGGCACUGGCCAGACUUGGCCCAUGGACUGCAGUUUGCCAGCCUCUGAACUUAGAGGAAAAAAAUUGGAAGAAUGGAGUGAACCUUGAGCACAGGGAGGAGCAGGCACUGAAGCUGUCUGUGUGCUCUUUUCCUGUCUUGAUGGAGAACAAGACAUUUGUAUGCUUUCACAAAACAAAGACAAGUGUAACUGUGAGUUCAAAGAUUACAUCAUUGAUUUCAGUAGUGUUGAUACUUUAAGCAUUUGCUAUGUUUCCUCUGAGCUAUUGGGACAUUACACUGAGAUGCAGUCGGUGGUAUGGGGAGGUGCUCAGGGGUUCUCCUCUCUGCCCUCACUGCUUGGUGCUUACAGACAGCUACUGAAGCAGUGCCUUUCAUGCUGGGGAGCCUGACUAUUUGCAGGUUGUUAAAUCAAUUUAAUGGGUCGUGGUCUGCAUUUGAAAGAAUAGAACUGGCUCAACUUCCUUGGGCUAGAAUGGAAAAUCACAAGGUACAUCCUUUAUAGUAUUUUGUGAAUUUUUGUUGUACACUUGAACAUAUAUAAACAUAUAUGGGAUGCAUACAUAAUAAAGAACUAUUAGGGGAAAAUCAAGCUGUUUUUUGUAAAGUUAAAACUUUGGAAAGAGUAUAGUCGAGUCACAAACUUUUCUCUGUUAAGUUAUACCUAGAUGUGAUGAUUGUGAAAAAUUGGCAAACAAAAACUCUAGAAAAAGUUUGCAUUCAGAUUGUUUCCCAAUGGCUUCCUAAGUUACUGAAAGACAUCUCAACUAGAAUUUAGGAAUAGACACUUUCAGUGUUAU